UACGUAGGCAGCGAGCGUUGUUCGGAAUUACUGGGCGUAAAGAGUGUGUAGGCGGUGCUCCCAGUCUGUUGUGAAAUCUCCCGGCUUAACUGGGAGGGUGCAGCGGAAACUAGAGUGCUAGAGGGUGGGAGAGGUAAGCGGAAUUCCUGGUGUAGCGGUGAAAUGCGUAGAUAUCAGGAGGAACACCGGUGGCGAAGGCGGGUCUCUGGGCCGAAAUUGACGCUGAGGAGCGAAAGCGUGGGGAGCAAACAGG
Molecule: ribosomal RNA, 253 nt
Filed under: uncultured bacterium
Lineage: Bacteria
Description: partial 16S ribosomal RNA
Rfam family: Bacterial small subunit ribosomal RNA
Source: RNAcentral